UGGUAAUUCUAGAGCUAAUACAUGCCCAAAGCGGCGGCCUCGCGGCAGCCGCAGCUUUUAUUAGUACCAAGACCGAUACGGGCUCGUCCCGUACCUUCUGGUGAAUCUGGAUAACAAGUGGAUCGCACGGCCACCGCGCCGGCGACGCAUCUUUCAAGUGUCUGCCCUAUCAACUUUCGAUGGUAGGGUAUUGGCCUACCAUGGUUGUAACGGGUGACGGGGAAUUAGGGUUCGAUUCCGGAGAGGGAGCCUGAGAAACGGCUACCACAUCCAAGGAAGGCAGCAGGCGCGCAAAUUACCCACUCCCGACUCGGGGAGGUAGUGACGAAAAAUAACGAUACAGGAUCUCUUACGAUCUUGCAAUUGGAAUGAGUACACUUUAAAUCCUUUAACGAGGACCAAUUGGAGGGCAAGUCUGGUGCCAGCAGCCGCGGUAAUUCCAGCUCCAAUAGCGUAUAUUAAAGUUGCUGCAUUUAAAAAGCUCGUAGUUGGAUCUCAGGGUACGGACCGCGGUUCCCUUUGUGGGGUCUACUGCGGUGCGGACCUUCAACUCUCUGCGGCUCCGGAUCGCGUGCACUUCAUCGUGUGCCGGUGCGGUCCGCAACGUUUACCUUGAAAAAAUUAGAGUGCUCAAAGCAGGCGCCUCCGCCCGGAUAGUUCAGCAUGGAAUAAUGGAACAGGACCUCGUGUCCCGUUUUGUUGGUCUUCUGGACCGAGGUAAUGAUUAUUAGGAACAGACGGGGGCAUUCGUACUGCGGCGCUAGAGGUGAAAUUCUUG
This 778-nucleotide ribosomal RNA is filed under the name Sterreria variabilis. Its description in RNAcentral is "bacterial SSU rRNA". It matches the Rfam family "Eukaryotic small subunit ribosomal RNA", at positions 150 to 922 of the family's 1831-position model. Lineage: Eukaryota; Metazoa; Xenacoelomorpha; Nemertodermatida; Nemertodermatidae. The record is from RNAcentral.